This 411-nucleotide long non-coding RNA is filed under the name Salmo salar (Atlantic salmon). Its description in RNAcentral is "lncRNA (ENSSSAG00000115298.1)". The record is from RNAcentral. Lineage: Eukaryota; Metazoa; Chordata; Actinopteri; Salmoniformes; Salmonidae.
AGCAGUGUGAGUCACGUAAUGGAGACAGCUUCCACAACAACAUUCUCUUUAUUGGUCUGACUCGAAGAUGAAAAGACCUUACACGCCAUUAAGAGUUUUAUUUUUUAAUUAAUCCAAUUGCCAUGCACCAUUUACAGAUUUGAACCCGUUUACAUCUCAUCAAGGAGGACGGCCAUUACAAAACCACCCACCAUAAGAAGACCAAGCAGCGUGGAUUGGAGCAUCGGGUUGACGGAUGGACUUGGCAGAAAGAGCGAAGAUUCUGGGAGGACAAGUUACGGGAGCUACGGGAGCCCGAGAGGCAGCCCCCCAAUUUUUUUGGGGGGGGGCACACGAGAAGUUGGCCUGAGUCAGGAUGGAAUACUGAGCCAACUUCCCGUGCUUACAGGAGGCAUCAAAGUACUGGUCAGG